RNAcentral lists this ribosomal RNA (117 nucleotides) under bacterium. The record is from RNAcentral.
GUUGGUGCUUAUAGCGAGAUGGGUACACCUCUUCCCAUUCCGAACAGAGAAGUUAAGCAUCUCAGUGUCGAUGAUACUUGGGCCAAAAGGCCCCGGGAAAGUAGAGCGGCGCCAACA